Sapajus apella (tufted capuchin) is the source of this 3612-nucleotide long non-coding RNA. RefSeq lists it as uncharacterized. The record is from RefSeq and is a predicted model, not a curated record. NCBI's taxonomy places the organism in Eukaryota, Metazoa, Chordata, Mammalia, Primates, Cebidae. The transcript has 2 exons.
UGUGAGGCCUCCCCAGCCAUUUGGAGCUAUAAGUCUAUUAAACCUUUUUUUCUUGCCAGUCUAGGUAUGUUUUUAUCAGCAGCAUGAAAACAGACCAAUAUAUAUCCCCAAAGUUAGAUACUUUAUCAUAUUACAAUUGUGUGGAUUUGGGAUUUGCAGGACUCAGCUGUUUGAUUCUCUUGAUGAAUGUAGCUCCAACUGAGGUCACUCCAUGAUAAUCAGCUUGUAGGUGUGCUGGGCUGGCCUAGAGAGCCCAGGAUGGCUUCAUUUACAUGUCUGGUGGCAUUGGCUGGUGGGGGCUGCCUGCAAGGCUGGGCUCAGUUGGGACCACUAUCCAGAGUACCUGAACAUGGCUUCUCCAACCUAGACUUAUUGGUGCAGUUGAUUCAUUACAUGGCAGCUCCAAGCUCCGAGAGAGAGUGUUGUAAGAGAGGCGAGGUUGGCUGACACCCUCCUAAGGCCCAGACCCAGAAACUGACAAGCACUACUUCUGCAGUAUUCUAGUGGUCAAGCAAUCAUAAGCCUGCCCAGAGCACCCCACCUCACCUCUCCAUGUAGGGAGUGUCAAAGAAUUUGGGACCAUCUUCAAUCUACCACAAUCCCCAUUCUUCACUUGCAGUCCCUUCCCACACAGGCAGUCUUUCUGUGCAUCUUAUGUGCAUCCUUGAAUUUAAACAUAGUCUCUAACGUAAGUUAUGUAAAUCUGUGUGGACAUCUCCCUUGCUUCUGACUGAUAGAUGCUUCUCCAAGGCGUGCACCCACCACGUUUACUUCUAUCUUCCAACAGGGAUGGGCUCCUGAGUAGCCAAUGCCCCCGCCAGAAGCAAUGCAGAAUGAGCACUUCCCCACGUUUUGGACAGAGAGUGUCUCUGAGCUGCAUACCGAGGAGUGACAUUGCAUUUCUGGGUCAUGGGCAGAAGAUUUACACAGUCAACUUGAAUCAGUACCAUCAGACGGCUCUCCAGAGUGGCUGCACCUUCUCACACUCCCUUGCAGAGAAUGAGGGUUCAUCUUUCCCCCACACUCCAGCCAACACUUGGCAUUACCUGACUUUCUAAUUUUUGCUAAUCUGAUGAGUGUACAGAGUAAAGUUUCAUGUUGCAUCUUUAAACAAAGAGUGAAAAUAUAGAGGAAAAGGAUAGGAAGGAAGGACGUUAGGAGGGAAGGAAAAUGACAGCUGGCUAAGGGGGAAGGAUUGGAAAGUCAAGUUUUCUGGACUGCACAGUACCCUACGGAAUCCUAGGGGCCAUCAGAGCUGCAGGUCACCUUGUGCAAAAGUGCAAAACAUAGUUAGACAUAUGGAAUUUGGCCUCCUGGCAUCCUGGCCAGAAGGAGUUCAUUCCACAGGGCCAAAGCUGGCUGUGCCUGCCUCCCUCUGGGUUCCUGGAAGCCGAGGAAGGGUGGACCAGCCUCCAGCUCCCAGGUCCUUAUGCUCAUGAGAUUUUGCUCCUCGUAUUUCUCUCUCAGUACUUUCCCAGUGGCCAGGGAGUCCAUCUUUAGGGGGGACCUGUACAGUAUUGUUUUAAUCUUCAGCUCUCUCUGCUUCCUCUCUGUUCCCUUCUUCUUCUCCUUCUUUAUCACACAGAACAGAUGUGGAAAAAGCCAAGCCUUUAGGAACAUCUGCUGAGACACCCAGGCUGAGGAAACUGUGACCCCUUCUGACUGUUGGGUUUCAUCCAAGGACCUCAGUUCUCUGGCCAGAGUAUUUGCAUCAAAGUCAGCAAGUUAUUCUAGCUAUUUAAGACAAUUUGCUAAAUCCCUGAAGACUUGCACACAUAGAAGGAAGAGAGAGAUGCUAUUUUUUAAAUGUGGGCUGCAGUUGGAGCUGGCUUGCCCAGAAGUGCAGAAUUCCCAGUGCUUCCCAGGGAGCAUGCGUUACUCUUGGAAAUACCUGGAUACAUAGGCAAGGUAUAGGAAAAAAGUUGAAUUCUUCUGACUAAGAAAGAAACUGCAAUCUGGAACUUGAUCAGCAGCUGCAUGCUGACUGCUAGAGGAAGAAGGGUUUGUUUCUGGUUUUGUUUCUUUGUUUUUUGGGGGAGGGGACAAAGUGAUUUCUGAAAGAGAGUGAGAGGACCCAGAAGUAAAAAGGUGGCAGAGGGAAUUGGAGGAGGAAAUGGGACAGUGAUAAAUUCCGCCUAGCAGGAGUUCCCUGCCCAGCUGAGGACUUCAGUUUAGAAUCAUUUACUUUGGGGAUAACACCUCUUGUUAACUGCAGACCUGCAGGAAACAUCUGCUAAACUUGACAGCUGUGUGCUGCUGGUGGUCAUUGAAAGACCAGCAUUAAGUUGACAGGCAGAAAGAAAAAGACAGUCCCAGAGGGAAGAAAGGAAUGAGAUGGAGUGCUCAGUGUGAACGGGAAAUCAGAGCCAGGGAUGACCAGUAAAAUAUAAGCCCUGGGGGAAUCUAGAAACAUCUUGGAAAGGGCCCAAGGCGUUUUCAUAACAUGUGGGCUGGGCGACUCUCGGGAAGGACCCCAGACUGGCGAACUUGGAAAUAUGCAAACUGAAGGUAUCUAGGUUACACAUGAGUGGAUGGAUGCACACACACGCACAUGUGCACACACGCACACACAUGCCCACAUACACAUGCACACACACAUGCACACACAGGCACACCCCCAGGUCCCCUAGGGUGGUAGUCCUCAACCUUAGCUGCACAUUUGAAUUGCCUGGGGGCUUUAAAAAAUGCCAGAGCCUACCCUCACCCCAAUGCCACCAACCCAAUGACAUCAGAAUCUAUGAGAAUCAGACACACACAUCAGGUUUUCAAAGCUCCCAGGGCUGAGCAGCACUGUUCUACAGGCUGACAGCUCCAGCUGCCUAGAGGGCAAAGGCCAGCUACAGUCUCCUGCAACCAAAGACUCACCUGAGCUAUCGUGCCCUUCCAUCACACCCUGUCCCCAGGCCUUCUCCCUUCCUUUCUCACCACUUCCCCUAUCCCCUUCCCAACAGGCACCCAGUGGAAUUUAAACCUGAGACAAGCCACAAAUAAUUUUGUUUAAUAUAAGUAUGAGCUGUGUAAAUUCGUAUCUACCAUGCAACAUACUCAUACUAAAAGUUAUUUGUGAUUUCUCUAAAAUUCAAAUUUAACCAGAUGUCCUGCGUUUUUAGUUGCUAAAUCUGACAACCCUAGAUAGGGACAACUUAAGUAAAAUAUUUUCUUCCUCGACAAGGGACAGAAAUCUGGCACCACCGCUAGCACCAGAUCCAGAGUCAAAGCCUAGGGCUCCUGGGCUGAGCCCCUGGGAGAAUCAGCAAAGCUUUCCGCCUUCCCCAGACCGUGCUGUGGGCACGCAGUACUGCGAGUUAUCACCACCAGAGGGCGCACUCUGAGCAGGCAGGAGGAGGCAGCGAAGAAACGACCCCAACCCAUGGAUGCUUAGGGACAAAGUGAGGGCUCAAUCCCCAAAGGAGCACUAGUAGGGUGGAGGGACAUUUCUUCCUCUUCUAAACUAAAUGAUGGUGAAGACACCUGAGAUUCAAUGAGAGAGAAGGGUGAGCCCAGGGUAGAAUGGUAAGACUUAAAACCUGACAGGUGUUUCUUUUAUAGUGAUUUAUUGCUUUGAUUGUUAAAAACUGCAUAAAUGAAAUAGUCAAACCAUUCAGAAUUAAA